UACAGAGGUCCCAAGCGUUGUUCGGAUUCACUGGGCGUAAAGGGUGCGUAGGUGGUCGGGUAAGUCCGAUGUGAAAUCUCCAGGCUCAACCUGGAAAUGGCAUUGGAUACUAUUCGGCUUGAGGAGUGGAGGGGGGACUGGAAUUCUCGGUGUAGCAGUGAAAUGCGUAGAUAUCGAGAGGAACACCAGUGGCGAAGGCGAGUCCCUGGACACUUCCUGACACUGAGGCACGAAAGCUAGGGGAGCAAACAGG
This 253-nucleotide ribosomal RNA is filed under the name uncultured bacterium. RNAcentral describes it as "partial 16S ribosomal RNA". It matches the Rfam family "Bacterial small subunit ribosomal RNA", at positions 524 to 776 of the family's 1533-position model. The record is from RNAcentral.